RNAcentral lists this transfer RNA (67 nucleotides) under Muscidifurax sinesensilla. RNAcentral's name for it is "tRNA-Leu". Lineage: Eukaryota; Metazoa; Arthropoda; Insecta; Hymenoptera; Pteromalidae. The record is from RNAcentral.
AUUACUUUGGCAGAAAAGUGUAUUAAAUUUAGAAUUUAAUAAUAAAUAUUUUAGUAUUUAAGUAAUA